UACGUAGGGUGCGAGCGUUGUCCGGAAUUAUUGGGCGUAAAGAGCUCGUAGGCGGUCUGUCGCGUCUGCUGUGAAAACUCGGGGCUUAACCCCGGGCCUGCAGUGGGUACGGGCAGACUAGAGUGCGGUAGGGGAGACUGGAAUCCUGGUGUAGCGGUGAAAUGCGCAGAUAUCAGGAGGAACACCGGUGGCGAAGGCGGGUCUCUGGGCCGAAAUUGACGCUGAGGAGCGAAAGCGUGGGGAGCAAACAGG
This 252-nucleotide ribosomal RNA is filed under the name uncultured bacterium. RNAcentral describes it as "partial 16S ribosomal RNA". It matches the Rfam family "Bacterial small subunit ribosomal RNA", at positions 524 to 776 of the family's 1533-position model. The record is from RNAcentral.